AAUUUGGCCUGCCCCCUGAUUUUAAGGUAUUAAAGGGCCGCAGUAUUAUAACUGUGCAAAGGUAGCAUAGUCAUUAGGUUUUUAAUUAGAAUCUUGUAUGAAUGGUUGGACAAAAGAGAGGCUCUCUUUAUAUUAAUGUUGAAUUUAACUUUUAAGUGAGAAGGCUUAAAUGAACUAAGGGGACGAUAAGACCCUGUAAAACUUUAUAUUAUAAUUAUAUUUUAUUGAAUUUAUAUAAAUAAAGAUUUAAUUUAAUUAUUUAUUAUGUUGGGGAGACAUAAGUAAAAUAUUAUUUUAACUGCUUAAAACUUAUACAAUUGUUUGUGAAUAGUAAAAGAUCCUUUUUAAAGAUUAAUAAGUUAAGUUACUUUAGGGAUAACAGCGUAAUUUCUUUUGAGAGUUCUUAUCGAUAAAGAAGGUUGCGACCUCGAUGUUGAAUUAAAAAAUCUAUAUAAUGAAGAGGUUAUAUAAGAAGGUCUGUUCGACCUUUAAAAUUUU
RNAcentral lists this ribosomal RNA (498 nucleotides) under Amamiku occulta. RNAcentral describes it as "partial 16S rRNA". It matches the Rfam family "Bacterial large subunit ribosomal RNA", at positions 1851 to 2597 of the family's 2925-position model. Lineage: Eukaryota; Metazoa; Arthropoda; Malacostraca; Decapoda; Potamidae. The record is from RNAcentral.